RNAcentral lists this long non-coding RNA (352 nucleotides) under Monodelphis domestica (gray short-tailed opossum). RNAcentral describes it as "lncRNA (ENSMODG00000049554.1)". Lineage: Eukaryota; Metazoa; Chordata; Mammalia; Didelphimorphia; Didelphidae. The record is from RNAcentral.
AUGAUGAAGCGUGCCCUUCUGCCUGUCCUCAGAGAUGGAGAGAAAUACUGGGGUGCCACGAAGUCCACGUCCUCACACAGGGGCCCUGGAUCAUGGCCAGAUAUGAAGAGGAAAUCAAUCUCAUUUUUGGAAGGGUUAGUUCCUGUGAAGAGAAGUUCUGAUGAGAAUAAGAGGGAAGAAAGAUUUCCAAGCUCCAAGGAUGAAUUCAUUUUUAAUGUGAAAUGUCAGCAAGUGAGAAAGAUAUAGGAUGUGCCUAAAAGAAGGAAGAGACAGAGAGACCAUCCUCAAUAGAAUGGGGCUGUAUAGAACACAAAGGAAUAAAGAAGCGAAAGAAAAGAAAGAAAAGAAAAAA